GAUGAACGCUGGCGGCGUGCCUAAUACAUGCAAGUCGAGCGAACAGACGAGGAGCUUGCUCCUCUGACGUUAGCGGCGGACGGGUGAGUAACACGUGGAUAACCUACCUAUAAGACUGGGAUAACUUCGGGAAACCGGAGCUAAUACCGGAUAAUAUAUUGAACCGCAUGGUUCAAUAGUGAAAGACGGUUUUGCUGUCACUUAUAGAUGGAUCCGCGCCGCAUUAGCUAGUUGGUAAGGUAACGGCUUACCAAGGCAACGAUGCGUAGCCGACCUGAGAGGGGGGUCGCCCACACGGGAACGGGGACACGGACCAGACUCCUGCGGGAGGCAGCAGAAGGGAAUCUGCCGCAAUGGGCGAAAGCCUGACGGAGCAAGGCCGCGUGAGUGAUGAAGGUCUUCGGAGCGUAAAACUCUGUUAUUGGGGAAGAACAAAUGUGUAAGUAACUAUGCACGUCUUGACGGUACCUAAUAAGAAAGCAACGGCUAACUACGUG
Molecule: ribosomal RNA, 497 nt
Filed under: uncultured bacterium
Lineage: Bacteria
Description: partial 16S ribosomal RNA
Rfam family: Bacterial small subunit ribosomal RNA
Source: RNAcentral